UAGAGAAGCUUUGCUGUUUUACAGAUGAAGGACUGAGACAGAGAGAAAAAUGCUUUGUCCAAAAGCAAAAAGGAAAGCUGUCUCAGAGAUGGGCUAAACCAAAGGGCAUGUUUUCAUUACACUUCAGGCAAUGAGCAGCCAGACUACGAAGCCACGCCCAGGCCGCUUGUGUUCUUCCACAUCUGCUGCUGUAACUUUGGGAAGUUUAUCCCCUGCUUUUUUGUAUUACGGUAAAGUAAGCUCCUUCACUUCUUUCCACUAUGGAAUAACUUAUCGAUAUUGGGCAAACAGGACAAAAUGUGUAAUGAACUUUGAUGGACAGGACAGACACAAAGAAUAACUCAACAGAACUUUCACUAGAAUGCUAAAUGGCACUCUAGGAAACAGGAACUUG
Strigops habroptila (Kakapo) is the source of this 394-nucleotide long non-coding RNA. RefSeq lists it as uncharacterized. Lineage: Eukaryota; Metazoa; Chordata; Aves; Psittaciformes; Psittacidae. The transcript is spliced from 3 exons. The record is from RefSeq and is a predicted model, not a curated record.